UUUGGUUUUCUUCAUGACAUCGCUCGAGGCAAAAACACAUCUUCGAGCAGCAUUUAUAACCCAGAUUCGGACAGUAUUUAUAAAACAAUGGUUCCAGAGAUGGCCGUCGAUGACAGCAACUCCACGAUAUUCCAUUCCGUAAAUGAAAUCCGUCCUUGGUGGCUGAUCGAUCUGGGAAUCGGAACGGGUGUUUUACCAUAUCUGAUUCUGAGUCGCCAAGAUUCCUAUCCAGAAAGGCUACAUGACCUUGAGAUUCGCCUGGGAAACUGCUUGGAGACGCCUGGAAACUUCUCUUCUUUUGAUCUCCUAAAUUUUUUCAAAGGACCUUACAAAAAGGAAGACGGAUUCCUUAUGUAUACCUUUCCCAAGGGUGUUAAGGGAAGAUACUUAAGUCUACAGAUUGUUGCAGAUAAGGAAGAAUUUCUACAGCUUGACACUGUCAAAGUGAUCGGUUUAAGGAACUAAGUAGCUAUCUUACUGGCCACAAUUCUUUUCUUCAAAUAUUGUGAAGUUUUUGAAGUCCUUGAAUACGGUUUCAGCUAAUUGAAAUAUGAUACAAAGUUUUCUGUAUUACGUAUCUCUCAAUAAAUUCAUGAAGCAGCAAAUCUAAGUUAAUUUAAGCAUUCUAUAUAUAUGUGUAAUGGUAAUGUGAGUUGAUUAUGUCUUAGGAUAUUUUUUGAAUGCACCUAUAACAGAGUUAACAGUUAUUUUCGAGUUCAUAGUCCCAUAUUCGUCAGGUACGGA
Long non-coding RNA from Macrobrachium nipponense, 744 nucleotides. RefSeq lists it as uncharacterized. NCBI's taxonomy places the organism in Eukaryota, Metazoa, Arthropoda, Malacostraca, Decapoda, Palaemonidae. The record is from RefSeq and is a predicted model, not a curated record. The transcript is spliced from 3 exons.